Molecule: ribosomal RNA, 343 nt
Filed under: uncultured bacterium
Lineage: Bacteria
Description: bacterial SSU rRNA
Rfam family: Bacterial small subunit ribosomal RNA
Source: RNAcentral
GAUGAACGCUAGCUACAGGCUUAACACAUGCAAGUCGAGGGGGCAGCAUGGUCUUAGCUUGCUAAGGCCGAUGGCGACCGGCGCACGGGUGAGUAACACGUAUCCAACCUGCCGUCUACUCUUGGACAGCCUUCUGAAAGGAAGAUUAAUACAAGAUGGCAUCAUGAGUCCGCAUGUUCACAUGAUUAAAGGUAUUCCGGUAGACGAUGGGGAUGCGUUCCAUUAGAUAGUAGGCGGGGUAACGGCCCACCUAGUCUUCGAUGGAUAGGGGUUCUGAGAGGAACGGUCCCCCACAUUGGAACUGAGACACGGUACCAAACUCCGUACGGGAGCAGCAGUGAGG